CCCACCCCAUCCUACAGACCAGGUGCAGUUUGAGAAGUGUGGCAAGAGGGUGGAUCGGCUGGAUCAGCGUCGUUCCAAGCUGCGCGUGGUUGGGGGCCAUCCGGGCAACUCACCCUGGACAGUCAGCUUGCGGAAUCGGUGAGGCACAACUGCCUGUCUCCCACAGAGAUGAGCUGAGGUUGUGUCCUCUGUGGUUAUCCCACUGGGGGCUGGGAAUCUAUCCCUGCCCCCAGAGAUCCUAGCCAGAAGAUGGCAGGUCUAGCAUCUGUCCCAGGAGUCUGUUACCUGUCCUAAUUCCCCACUCCUCUAGGCAGGGCCAGCAUUUCUGCGGGGGGUCUCUAGUGAAGGAGCAGUGGAUACUGACUGCCCGGCAGUGCUUCUCCUCCUGCCAUAUGCCUCUCACGGGCUAUGAGGUAUGGUUGGGCACCCUGUUCCAGAACCCACAGCAUGGAGAGCCAGGCCUACAGCGGGUCCCAGUAGCCAAGAUGGUGUGUGGGCCCUCAGGCUCCCAGCUUGUCCUGCUCAAGCUGGAGAGAUCUGUGACCCUGAACCAGCGUGUGGCCCUGAUCUGCCUGCCCCCUGAAUGGUAUGUGGUGCCUCCAGGGACCAAGUGUGAGAUUGCAGGCUGGGGUGAGACCAAAGGUACGGGUAAUGACACAGUCCUAAAUGUGGCCUUGCUGAAUGUCAUCUCCAACCAGGAGUGUAACAUCAAGCACCGAGGACGUGUGCGGGAGAGUGAGAUGUGCACUGAGGGACUGUUGGCCCCUGUGGGGGCCUGUGAGGGUGACUACGGGGGCCCACUUGCCUGCUUUACCCACAACUGCUGGGUCCUGGAAGGAAUUAUAAUCCCCAACCGAGUAUGCGCAAGGUCCCGCUGGCCAGCUGUCUUCACGCGUGUCUCUGUGUUUGUGGACUGGAUUCAC
RNAcentral lists this small RNA (923 nucleotides) under Pan troglodytes (chimpanzee). RNAcentral's name for it is "retained intron". The record is from RNAcentral. Lineage: Eukaryota; Metazoa; Chordata; Mammalia; Primates; Hominidae.